CUUAAUUGAGAAAAAGAGAAAAGCAAGCCGGCCACGCACCCACGACCCCCUCCUCUCUUCCUCACACGCCGCCGGCCCCGACUCGCCUUCCACCUCCGGCGACCCCCCUGCCUCCCACCUCCUGCGACCCGCCGCGCCCCCCGGCCUCCCAUCUCCGGCGACCCACCGCGCCCCCUGGCCUCCCAUCUGCGGGCGACCCACCACGCCCCCCGCCUCCCACCUCCGGCGCCGGGCCAAGCCCCCCCGGCUCCCACCUCCGGCGACGCGCCACGGCCCCGCCUCCCACCUCCAGCGAUGCGCCACGGCCCCGCCUCCCACCUUCGGCGAUGCCCCACGGCCCUGCCUCCCAUCUCCGGCGACGCGCCAUCCCUGAACCCCGCCUCCCAUCUCCUUCGACGCGCCGUCCCUGAACCCUGCCUCCUCUCUCGCGUCGCCCCCAUUGGCCCUCGAGCGCGGCCGUCCCUCCCACGGAGCCAAGCUCGCGACCGUCACUUCCACCACGCCGAGCUCGCACUCCAUCGCCGCUGGCGCCCCCAACCUCGCGUCAUCCAUGACCCCUCCAUUACACUCCUAUUCUUCAGGAACAUGUCAGUUCGUGUGGAGCAUAACAGUCCGUCAGUUCGUCGGUGGGAUUCGCAGGAUCCGCAGAGCGGCAGCAGCGCUCACUCUCCAAUGGUUGCCCGCGCAAGGAGGAUACAGGGAUGCGACAGUGGUGGAGGAGUCAGCAGCGUUCCAUGGCCUUCGUCCUCCUAGUCGCAUCUUUUCUUAUAAACAGCCAGAAGAAAACGACGCACAGGCUUCAUGCUCCAUCUCCUGGUGAAGGGGAGUUAAGCUCUAGGACCACUUGGAUGUGGAUGCUCAUGCUCCUCCACUGGGCGAGCUCCAAGGGCACCACGGGGCUUGAGAUUGUCAUCUCUACCCUCGGCCGUGAGGGCCAAGAGGCUGCCUGCACCCUGCUAAAUGAAAUGCUACUUCCGACCACCAACUCGCCUGAUGCCCGUAUGUAGACCGCCAUGCUUUUCAUGAUUUCCUGUAUGCCUGUACAUGAAAAAGUCUCAACAAUUCCGUUUCUUGUCUUCAUGAUUUUGUGCUUGCUUAUCACAAGUUCACGUUACAUGCUCAAUGUAGUAGCUAGCUGAAGAAAGGGUAUUGUUCUGUAGCUUUGGUCUUACCAUUGUGGUGCUUGUGUUAUUGCGUGGGAAAAUGAAAGAAAGGAUUUUUUAGCAAAUCAAUGAAUGAGAAAAGAGUUUGCUAUUUUCCCGGUUAAUUUAGAGCUCCAAAAAUGUUCAGAGUUCAGAGUAGUUGUUUGGAGACGAACAAUGAAUAAGUAUAAUAAAACAAAAGAAAAAUUAGUAAAAUAGUACGACAAAGUUCACUAUGUAUUCCACCAUCAGUACAUAAAGAAAUAUCAUACAAAUUCCCUGCUCACGGGACUAUAUUUAUAGCCUAAUGGUUAGUGUCAAAAUGUGUUGUUCUUGUUUCUUUAUGGUUACUUCUUUAUUAUAUGAAUAUGAAUGUGCUAGCUAGCUUAGCAGUACCAUUUGCAGUCAGUAGGUGUAGCUCACACAAUUCUUGGGUCAAUUUUGUCAUAACAAUAAGGCAGGACAUGCUUGCAAGAUGAUGAAACCAUGUAUAUAUAACUUGAUGACUAUCCAAAUUGAGAAAACCCUGAAAUAUUAUAUGUGCUCUCUUUGUAUCAGUUCUUAUGCUUGUGACAAUUCUACACUCAUACUGUGUUCAGGUUAUUGGUUUCCUCUUGAGCAGAUGAACUACAUUGUCACAUUAAACUACGGGGACAUGUUCCCUCAGUCCUCUCUCGACAAAUCCAACAGUACAGGUUCUCCGGUGCGCCAAGUAUUGCCAGUGGCGAUGUCUGCAUCAUGGCCCAUUGAGGAGAACAUGCCAGUCAGUUGUAGGUUUUUCUAUAUGCACAUUUAUCUGUUUAGCUUUAAAUUUUGUUAUUUUCCACAUUUGACACUUGUGUUAAUGCUUCUGUGUCGUGCACUUAUGAUUCCAUUGUGAGGAAAAAAGACAAGUGAGCUAAGUACUUGUUUGGAAAGUUUCUAAGUUCAAACAAAAAAACCUAAAGAUGUUCAUUGAGAAAGUUUUGUUUCGUUAAAAAAUGUGGUUUUUGGUUGGAAAAUCACUUAGGAAAAUAGUUCACUUUUGCUAAUUCCUGUAGUUCUCUGGAUAGAAAAAAUGAUGGUUCAAUUUGCUGAGUCUCGUGGUCUAGAAAAUUAUUUUUCUUUGUUUGAAACAGUUCAGUGCUUAAGCCACAGAAAAAAGUGAGCUGUUUUGUUCAAGGGAGUUCGAAAAAUAAACACACAUGAAGUUCAAGAUUGGAACUAACAUAGAAAAAAUGUACACACAUUCUCGUGCACUUAUGACCCUGCUUAGGCAUGCUUCUCUGGUCGUGCCACGUGCCAUGGAUACAUGAUGCGAUUUUCGGAUCUAGAAUAGCACGAAAGGGGGUACCAAGCUUAACUAACACUCAAGUAUUUAAAAUUUCCAUGGGAAACUAAUAUUCAUGCACCUCUUUGGUGGAUUUUUUGAUAUAUUUCUUUCAUGAAUGUAUACAUUGUACUGCUCUAUUAUGUACAUCCGGGCAUGAUGCACAGAAUAAAACAUUAUGAGAUCCUUGGUUUACUUACAGGUAGGUCAUUAGUUCAAACCUAACACAGAAACUACUUGCUUGGCAUUCUAGCUCUUGUUUUCCCAAGACUAGUACUGGUAAAUGUUAUUUCCCUAUGUAUUCUUUCCUCAGUCCAUAGAGAAACAUGGGAAUAGUUCGAUUGUGUUGGAUAGAUAGUUCAAUUUUAUAUAUCAUAAGAAGAAAAGAACAUGUUUUCUAUAGGAGAAAAUCAAAAACAUCAUUAACAACUCACUAUGUAUUCUACCAUCAAUUCUGUGUGUAUUAGAGAGAGGGUUUGGUGUCUCAUUGUUUACACUUGCCCAGAAAAAAAAUGUUCUGUUGCAGAUUAGGACCAUUGUAUUUACAUUUUUUUAAACAAAGAACUAAUCAGUUCAUACAAGUUCAAAAGACAAAGCAUCGAAAGUUCAAUCGAAAGCUCUCACCACUUUCCUUUCUAUUUCUUAAUUAUUGUACGACAUUUCAAGCAUUGAGCAAAAGGGAUUAGUAUAAAUUGUAGAAGUAGUUGCAGGAUGCUUAAGUUCUUUUGACUUUCUUUUCUCUCAUUCUUCCUGUACUGACGAGCUGUUUCAUUUUGCUGGUUUCAAAAGUAGAAGGGGAAGAUGUAGAGGCUGGACUACUCAGAGCCUUUGCCGCUGAUGUUGUGUUGUGUUAGGUCAACACGUAGUAGUAAAAUUAUUUUGCAGGAAGAGAAGACAGCGAGAAGAUGUUCCAGGUGACACGUCCUUCCAUCAAAACAAAAAGUUCAAACAUAGCAAAAAGUCGCAGAAAAGGAUGUGAACAUAGUAUACUCCCAUGGCUGUACGAGUAAACAUACACCAAGUGUAGACUUUCACCAUGUGCUUUAUCAUCAGUUAAAAAAAAGCUUUGUGUGUGCUACUGAAAUUGACAUGGUUUAGUUUGCUUUUACUUGUAUGCUACUGAUAGAUCAACAUUAUUUGCUUGUGUACUAAAGUGACUAAUUUGAACCACACUGCUUGUGUACUGA
Long non-coding RNA from Triticum aestivum (bread wheat), 3638 nucleotides. RefSeq lists it as uncharacterized. Lineage: Eukaryota; Viridiplantae; Streptophyta; Magnoliopsida; Poales; Poaceae. The record is from RefSeq and is a predicted model, not a curated record. The transcript has 2 exons.